Molecule: non-coding RNA, 30 nt
Filed under: Rattus norvegicus (Norway rat)
Lineage: Eukaryota; Metazoa; Chordata; Mammalia; Rodentia; Muridae
Source: RNAcentral
UUACAUCUUUCCGUUUUAGGUACACAUUGU